RNAcentral lists this ribosomal RNA (1346 nucleotides) under uncultured bacterium. RNAcentral's name for it is "partial 16S ribosomal RNA". It matches the Rfam family "Bacterial small subunit ribosomal RNA", at positions 28 to 1381 of the family's 1533-position model. The record is from RNAcentral.
GACGAACGCUGGCGGCGUGCUUAACACAUGCAAGUCGAACGGAAAGGCCCUGCUUUUGUGGGGUGCUCGAGUGGCGAACGGGUGAGUAACACGUGAGUAACCUGCCCUUGACUUUGGGAUAACUUCAGGAAACUGGGGCUAAUACCGGAUAGGAGCUCCUGCUGCAUGGUGGGGGUUGGAAAGUUUCGGCGGUUGGGGAUGGACUCGCGGCUUAUCAGCUUGUUGGUGGGGUAGUGGCUUACCAAGGCUUUGACGGGUAGCCGGCCUGAGAGGGUGACCGGCCACAUUGGGACUGAGAUACGGCCCAGACUCCUACGGGAGGCAGCAGUGGGGAAUAUUGCACAAUGGGCGGAAGCCUGAUGCAGCAACGCCGCGUGCGGGAUGACGGCCUUCGGGUUGUAAACCGCUUUCGCCUGUGACGAAGCGUGAGUGACGGUAAUGGGUAAAGAAGCACCGGCUAACUACGUGCCAGCAGCCGCGGUGAUACGUAGGGUGCGAGCGUUGUCCGGAUUUAUUGGGCGUAAAGGGCUCGUAGGUGGUUGAUCGCGUCGGAAGUGUAAUCUUGGGGCUUAACCCUGAGCGUGCUUUCGAUACGGGUUGACUUGAGGAAGGUAGGGGAGAAUGGAAUUCCUGGUGGAGCGGUGGAAUGCGCAGAUAUCAGGAGGAACACCAGUGGCGAAGGCGGUUCUCUGGGCCUUUCCUGACGCUGAGGAGCGAAAGCGUGGGGAGCGAACAGGCUUAGAUACCCUGGUAGUCCACGCUGUAAACGGUGGGUACUAGGUGUGGGGUCCAUUCCACGGGUUCCGUGCCGUAGCUAACGCUUUAAGUACCCCGCCUGGGGAGUACGGCCGCAAGGCUAAAACUCAAAGGAAUUGACGGGGCCCCGCACAAGCGGCGGAGCAUGCGGAUUAAUUCGAUGCAACGCGUAGAACCUUACCUGGGUUUGACAUGGAUCGGGAGUGCUCAGAGAUGGGUGUGCCUCUUUUGGGGUCGGUUCACAGGUGGUGCAUGGCUGUCGUCAGCUCGUGUCGUGAAAUGUUGGGUUAAGUCCCGCAACGAGCGCAACCCUUGUUCACUGUUGCCAGCACGUUAUGGUGGGGACUCAGUGGAGACCGCCGGGGUCAACUCGGAGGAAGGUGGGGAUGACGUCAAGUCAUCAUGCCCCUUAUGUCCAGGGCUUCACGCAUGCUACAAUGGCUGGUACAGAGAGUGGCGAGCCUGUGAGGGUGAGCGAAUCUCGGAAAGCCGGUCUCAGUUCGGAUUGGGGUCUGCAACUCGACCUCAUGAAGUCGGAGUCGCUAGUAAUCGCAGAUCAGCAACGCUGCGGUGAAUACGUUCCCGGGGCU